Molecule: transfer RNA, 107 nt
Organism: Cladophialophora immunda
Lineage: Eukaryota; Fungi; Ascomycota; Eurotiomycetes; Chaetothyriales; Herpotrichiellaceae
Rfam family: tRNA
About the family: Transfer RNA (tRNA) molecules are approximately 80 nucleotides in length. Their secondary structure includes four short double-helical elements and three loops (D, anti-codon, and T loops).
Source: Rfam
GGGCGCAUAGCUCAGGGGUAGAGCGCUCGCUUUGCAUCGUUGAGAGGCAACCAAAACUCAAGCAUAUAGCAUGCGAGAGGUCGUGGGUUCGAAUCCCACUGUGUCCA